GUGGGGAAUCUUGCGCAAUGGGCGAAAGCCUGACGCAGCCAUGCCGCGUGAAUGAUGAAGGUCUUAGGAUUGUAAAAUUCUUUCACCGGGGACGAUAAUGACGGUACCCGGAGAAGAAGCACCGGCUAACUUCGUGCCAGCAGCCGCGGUAAUACGAAGGGUGCAAGCGUUAAUCGGAAUUACUGGGCGUAAAGCGCGCGUAGGCGGUUUGGUAAGUGUGAUGUGAAAGCCCCGGGCUCAACCUGGGAAUUGCCUCACAUACUGCUAAGCUAGAGUACGGGAGAGGGGGGUAGAAUUCCACGUGUAGCGGUGAAAUGCGUAGAGAUGUGGAGGAAUACCGGUGGCGAAGGCGGCCCCCUGGAUCGAUACUGACGCUGAGGUGCGAAAGCGUGGGGAGCAAACAGGAUUAGAAACCCGAGUAGUCC
Molecule: ribosomal RNA, 425 nt
Filed under: uncultured bacterium
Lineage: Bacteria
Description: partial 16S ribosomal RNA
Rfam family: Bacterial small subunit ribosomal RNA
Source: RNAcentral